GAUCCUGGCUCAGAACGAACGCUGGCGGCAGGCUUAACACAUGCAAGUUGAACGGGAUUUGUGUGGUGCUUGCACCAUAUAAUGAGAGUAGCGCACUGGUGAGUAACACGUGGGAACGUGCCUUUUAGUGGGGGAUAACAUCUGGAAACGGAUGCUAAUACCGCAUACGCCCUGAGGGGGAAAGAUUUAUUGCUAAGAGGUCGGCCCAGGCGGUAGUAUUAGGCUAGGUUUGGGUAGGGGGUAAACGGCCCUAACCCAAACCUACG
Molecule: ribosomal RNA, 266 nt
Filed under: uncultured bacterium
Lineage: Bacteria
Description: partial 16S ribosomal RNA
Rfam family: Bacterial small subunit ribosomal RNA
Source: RNAcentral